AAACCUUCAAGCAUAGCUUGGUGUUGGGUGCUUGUCCUCCCCAGCGGUGGACUCACCUCAAAUGCAUUGGCGGCCGGUAUGUUGGCUUCGAGCGCAGUACAACGCGCCUGGUGUCUAGACGUGCUGGUCCUCCACAAGACCUUCUUUAAGC
This 151-nucleotide unclassified non-coding RNA is filed under the name uncultured Pleosporales. Its description in RNAcentral is "sequence contains ITS2". Lineage: Eukaryota; Fungi; Ascomycota; Dothideomycetes; Pleosporales. The record is from RNAcentral.